GCAAGUCGAGCGAACAGAAGGGAGCUUGCUCCCGGAUGUUAGCGGCGGACGGGUGAGUAACACGUGGGUAACCUGCCUGUAAGACUGGGAUAACUCCGGGAAACCGGAGCUAAUACCGGAUAGUUCCUUGAACCGCAUGGUUCAAGGAUGAAAGACGGUUUCGGCUGUCACUUACAGAUGGACCCGCGGCGCAUUAGCUAGUUGGUGGGGUAAUGGCUCACCAAGGCGACGAUGCGUAGCCGACCUGAGAGGGUGAUCGGCCACACUGGGACUGAGACACGGCCCAGACUCCUACGGGAGGCAGCAGUAGGGAAUCUUCCGCAAUGGACGAAAGUCUGACGGAGCAACGCCGCGUGAGUGAUGAAGGUUUUCGGAUCGUAAAGCUCUGUUGUUAGGGAAGAACAAGUGCGAGAGUAACUGCUCGCACCUUGACGGUACCUAACCAGAAAGCCACGGCUAACUACGUGCCAGCAGCCGCGGUAAUACGUAGGUGGCAAGCGUUGUCCGGAAUUAUUGGGCGUAAAGGGCUCGCAGGCGGUUUCUUAAGUCUGAUGUGAAAGCCCCCGGCUCAACCGGGGAGGGUCAUUGGAAACUGGGAAACUUGAGUGCAGAAGAGGAGAGUGGAAUUCCACGUGUAGCGGUGAAAUGCGUAGAGAUGUGGAGGAACACCAGUGGCGAAGGCGACUCUCUGGUCUGUAACUGACGCUGAGGAGCGAAAGCGUGGGGAGCGAACAGGAUUAGAUACCCUGGUAGUCCACGCCGUAAACGAUGAGUGCUAAGUGUUUAGGGGGUUUCCGCCCCUUAGUGCUGCAGCUAACGCAUUAAGCACUCCGCCUGGGGGAGUACGGUCGCAAGACUGAAACUCAAAGGAAUUGACGGGGGCCCGCACAAGCGGUGGAGCAUGUGGUUUAAUUCGAAGCAACGCGAAGAACCUUACCAGGUCUUGACAUCCUCUGACAACCCUAGAGAUAGGGCUUUCCCUUCGGGGACAGAGUGACAGGUGGUUGCAUGGUUGUCGUCAGCUCGUGUCCUGAAAAGUUUGGGUUAAGUCCCGCAACGAAGCGCAACCCUUGGAUCUU
This 1079-nucleotide ribosomal RNA is filed under the name Bacillus zhangzhouensis. Its description in RNAcentral is "bacterial SSU rRNA". It matches the Rfam family "Bacterial small subunit ribosomal RNA", at positions 57 to 1113 of the family's 1533-position model. The record is from RNAcentral. Lineage: Bacteria; Bacillati; Bacillota; Bacilli; Caryophanales; Bacillaceae.